Long non-coding RNA from Glycine soja, 656 nucleotides. RefSeq lists it as uncharacterized. The record is from RefSeq and is a predicted model, not a curated record. The transcript is spliced from 2 exons. Lineage: Eukaryota; Viridiplantae; Streptophyta; Magnoliopsida; Fabales; Fabaceae.
CCUAAAUCCCUUUGGUGCACUCACCUCACCACUCAGACAGCUACCUCCACCACGCACUUACCUCUCCUCACUCAGCCACCAACCAGCAGCCAGUCACCACGACGGCGCCAUCACGACUCCUCCAUUUGCGUGAGCAGUCACGCAGACUCCUCUCUCUCGCACGUGCACUCCUCCUCUCCUUGUGCUGCACCACGCGCCGCCACGACUCCUCAACACGGCUCGCACAACAACAGUCUCCCUCACACUCCCUAUUAAUCCUUUGUCAAACAAACGGCACUCAAAUUGUCGCAAAAGAUCCAGCCAUGCUCUUGAGGAAAACCAAGAUGAAAAAAUUAAGCCUUUCAAACAAAUCCUUUCCUUUGGUGCUUCAAACAAGUUCAGUCAAAGCCAUAUACUUAGCUUGUGUACAUAAUGAAAUUGAAGGACCAAGACAGUAGCUUUCCAAGUCACUAAUGAAUUACCAAGAGUGAAAGCGUAACCUGUGGUAACUGAUCUUGUAGCAUCCAAACUAGCCGCAUAUAUAUACUUUUAAAUAAAUAACACGAUAACACCAUGUAUAAGCUCCAUAUAUAAGCCCAACAUUUGAUUAUUGUGCAUGACUCAUCUUCUAUAAGCAGCCAAGGUGAUAUUGUAAUUUUGCCUCGUGUUUAUUUUAA